Arachis ipaensis is the source of this 381-nucleotide non-coding RNA. The record is from RefSeq and is a predicted model, not a curated record. Lineage: Eukaryota; Viridiplantae; Streptophyta; Magnoliopsida; Fabales; Fabaceae.
AAAGGAGGAGGAGGGUUGGGUUUAAAACCUUAGGUAUCACUGGUAACUCUGAGACUCUGCAGUUUCAAAUACAUAAAGAUAUGACCCCGAAAGCACCAGAAAACAUGUUUGCCAUGUAGCAACUGAAUUCCCAAUUCCCUGUUUGCAGAAGUACCUUCCAAACUAGGAUUCUACCAUCAACAACUAGAUCAUGACUCCAAGGAGCAAGUUUGGAGUGUAAACUAUCAGGUGUAGGCUGAUUACAUGUUUCCAUAGUAUUGGCAAUAUGUUCAGCAGUUCCAUGAUUCUACAAAAUCUCUUUGGUGAAAAGUGAAUGCAAAGAUUUGGCACUUGAAUGGAUAUACAUGUCGAUGGGUAACUUGGAUGAGGCACUUUAAUCUU